RNAcentral lists this ribosomal RNA (22 nucleotides) under Trichoderma longibrachiatum. RNAcentral describes it as "partial 18S ribosomal RNA". The record is from RNAcentral. Lineage: Eukaryota; Fungi; Ascomycota; Sordariomycetes; Hypocreales; Hypocreaceae.
CAACUCCAAACCCCAAUGUGAU